CUCCUCACACCUGAGAGAACUGGAUCUGAGUAACAAUGACCUGCAGGACUCAGGAGUGAAGCUGCUGUGCGCUGGACUGAAGAGUCCUAACUGUCAACUCAACAUACUUGGAUUAUCUGGCUGUUUGGUGACAGAAGACAGUUGUGCUGCUCUGGCUUCAGCUCUGAGUUCAAACCCCUCACACCUGAGAGAGCUGGAUCUGAGCUGCAAUCAUCCAGGAGAUUCAGGAGUGAAGCUGCUCUCUGAAACACUCAACCAUCUGGACAAACUCAAUGUGGAUCAUGGAUGAGAAUUCAG
Molecule: long non-coding RNA, 297 nt
Organism: Sinocyclocheilus grahami
Lineage: Eukaryota; Metazoa; Chordata; Actinopteri; Cypriniformes; Cyprinidae
Exons: 3
Source: RefSeq, a predicted model, not a curated record